AUGCCGCACCCCUCCUCGCCGUCUUCCUCGCCGCAGCAGCUCCGCCUCGCGCGCCUCCUCCUGCCCUUCGGCCUGCUGCUCCUCGUCUCGCUGCUCGUGCUCCACGGCCGCCCGCCGGGGACCCGCCCCGGCCAAUCCGGCACUGACCCUGCCGCGCUCUUCCUCUCGCUCUCCCCGGGGGCUAACGCCAGCAUCGCGGCCGACCUGCGCGCGCUCACGUCGGGGCCGCACCUCGCGGGGACGGCCGGGGCGGCGGGCGUGGCCGCGCACGUGCUCUCGCGGCUCCGCGCCGCGGGGUUAAGGACGCUGACCCGCGAGUACGCGCCGCUGCUCUCGUACCGGGCGCACGCCUCACUCGCGCUGCUCGCCGCCGACCGGUCCCUCCUUGCGUACCUGUCGACGGAUGAGCCGGCAGACCCGGGGCGCCGCGUCGUGCGGCCCUAUCACGCGUAUGCUCCCUCCGGUGCGGCCGUGGCCGAGGCGGUGUUCGUCAACCUGGGCCGCGAGGAGGACCUCGCCGCGCUCGACCGGCUCGGGGUGUCCCUCCGCGGCCGCGUCGCCGUGGCGGUCCGCGGGGGCGGGUACCGCGGCGGGGUGGUGGCGCGCGCCGCGGGGAGGGGCGCCGUCGCAGUGCUCAUAGCCGGCCGCGCGGACGGCGGCGUCGAGAGGGGCACGGUCCUCCUGGGGGGCCCCGGCGACCCGCUCACGCCCGGCUGGGCGGCGGCGGACGGGGCAGAGCGGCUAGGGUUCGACCACGAGGCGGUCAGGCGGCGGUUGCCAACGAUCCCGUCCAUGCCGGUGUCGGCCGACACGGCGUCAGUCAUCGUACGGAGCCUGGGCGGGCCGGCGUUGCCGCAGGAGUGGCGCGCGGGGCUAGGGCUCGAGGGCCACGCCGGCGGCGUCGGACCAGGCCCCACGCUAGUCAACUUCACCUACCAGGAGGAUAGGAAGAUGGCUACGAUAAAGGAUAUUUUUGCUGUCAUAAAAGGACACGAAGAACCUGAUCGUUACGUGAUCCUUGGGAACCACAGAGAUGCAUGGACAUAUGGAGCAGUUGAUCCUAACAGUGGGACAGCUGCGCUUCUUGAUGUUGCUCGCCGUCUUGGAAUAAUGCUGCAGUCAGGUUGGACACCACGGAGGACUAUCAUUCUUUGUAGCUGGGAUGCUGAAGAGUUUGGAAUGAUCGGGUCAACUGAAUGGGUCGAAGAGAACCUUGGAGAUCUGCAAUCCAAAGCUGUAGCUUACUUGAAUGUUGAUUGUGCUGUGCAAGGCAUGGGGCUUUUCGCUGGUUCUACUCCCCAGUUGGAUAAGCUCUUGAUCGAUGUUACAAGACUGGUAAAGGAUCCAGAUGUUGAAGGAAAGACAGUUCAUGAUACAUGGAGUACAAUGAAUGGCGGCAUCAAUAUAGAGAGACUUGCCAGAACUGAUUCUGAUUUCGCCCCAUUUCUCCAUCAUGCUGGAAUUCCUUGUGUGGACUUGUACUAUGGAAAAGAAUUUCCUGGCUAUCAUACUGCACUUGACUCUUAUAUCUGGAUGGAAAAGCAUGGUGAUCCAUUGUUUCUUCGUCAUUUGGCUAUUACCGAAAUUUGGGGACUACUAGCGCUUCGCUUGGCAAAUGAUCUUGUGUUGCCUUUUGAUUACCACACAUAUGCCUCACAGUUGCAGGAGCAUACAAAUGUGCUUGCCGACAGGAUGGACAACAGCCAAUCAGUCAGUGUCAUAAAUGGAUUCAUCAAUGAUCUUUCUAGUGCAGCCACAGAAGUUCAGAAGGAGGCAAAGGAACUAAAGAUGCUGGAUAUACACGAUGGACGCGGUCUUAUAAGGAGGCGGCUGUUGAACGACCGCCUUCUACUAGCCGAAAGAAGCUUCCUGCACGCGGAAGGACUCCAAGGAAGAACAUGGUACAAGCAUCUGAUGUACUCGCCACCGGAGGACUACGAGAGCGAGCUCUCGUUCUUCCCCGGGAUCGCGGACGCCAUCUCUCGGCAGGGGAACCAGAGCACGAGACAACGGCAGGCGGCGGUGCGGCAGGAGCUGUGGAGGGUCGCCAUGGCGAUCGAGAGGGCCGCAAAUGUGCUCAGAGGUGAAUUUGGCGCACAGAGCAAACCAGUAAAUUUCAGUGUCUCCUUGGCUCCGUGA
This 2139-nucleotide ribosomal RNA is filed under the name Triticum aestivum (bread wheat). RNAcentral describes it as "partial small subunit ribosomal RNA". The record is from RNAcentral. Lineage: Eukaryota; Viridiplantae; Streptophyta; Magnoliopsida; Poales; Poaceae.